AGCAGCCGCGGUAAUUCCAGCUCCAAUAGCGUAUAUUAAAGUUGUUGCAGUUAAAAAGCUCGUAGUUGAAUUUCGGGAUCAAUAUAUCGGUCGUGCCUUUGGUACGUACUGGUAUCAUUGAUUUCUCCUUUCUGACGAAUCAUGAUGUCAUUAAUUUGGUGUUAUGAGGAGUUAGGACUGUUACUUUGAAAAAAUUUAGAGUAGUUUAAAGCAGGCAUUAGCUUGAAUACAUUAGCAUGGAAUAAUGAAAUAGGACGUUUGACCCUAUUUUGUUGGUUUUUAGGAUCGACGUAAUGAUUAAUAGGGAUAGUUGGGGGCAUUAGUAUUCAAUUGUCAGAGGCGAAAUUCUUGGAUUUAUUGAAGACUAACUACUGCGAAAGCAUUUGCCAAGGAUGUUUUCAUUAAUCAAGAACGAAAGUUAGGGGAUCGAAGACGAUCAGAUACCGUCGUAGUCUUAACCGUAAACUAUGCCGACUAGGGAUCGGAUGAUGUUAAUUUUAUAAUGACUCAUUCGGCGCCU
This 520-nucleotide ribosomal RNA is filed under the name uncultured Glomus. RNAcentral's name for it is "SSU rRNA". It matches the Rfam family "Eukaryotic small subunit ribosomal RNA", at positions 569 to 1088 of the family's 1831-position model. Lineage: Eukaryota; Fungi; Glomeromycota; Glomeromycetes; Glomerales; Glomeraceae. The record is from RNAcentral.